AUUGAACGCUGGCGGCAGGCUUUACACAUGCAAGUCGAACGGCAGCGCGGUCUUCGGCUUGGCGGCGAGUGGCGAACGGGUGAGUGAUGCAUCGGAACGUGCCCAGUAGUGUGUGAUAGCGCGGCGAAGGAGGGAUUCAUACCGCAUUAGCGCUGACGGUGUACGCGGGGGAGCGGAGGGCCUCCCGCUCUUGGACCAGCGGAUGUCGGAUUAGCUAGUUGGCGGGGUAAAGGCCCACCAAGGCGACGAUCCGUAGCUGGUCUGAGAGGAUGAGCAGCCACACUGGAACUGAGACACGGUCCAGACUCCUACGGGAGGCAGCAGUGGGGAAUAUUGGACAAUGGGCGCAAGCCUGAUCCAGCCAUACCGCGUGGGUGAAGAAGGCCUUCGGGUUGUAAAGCCCUUUUGUUGGGAAAGAAAAGCAGCAGGUUAAUACCCCGCUGUUCUGACGGUACCCAAAGAAUAAGCACCGGCUAACUUCGUG
This 484-nucleotide ribosomal RNA is filed under the name uncultured bacterium. Its description in RNAcentral is "partial 16S ribosomal RNA". It matches the Rfam family "Bacterial small subunit ribosomal RNA", at positions 28 to 507 of the family's 1533-position model. The record is from RNAcentral.